This is a small nuclear RNA of Dipodomys ordii (Ord's kangaroo rat), 107 nucleotides long. The record is from Ensembl. NCBI's taxonomy places the organism in Eukaryota, Metazoa, Chordata, Mammalia, Rodentia, Heteromyidae.
GUGCUCGCUUUGGCAGCACAUAUAAUAAAAUUGGAAUGAUACAGAGAAGAUUCGCAUGGCCCCUGCACAAGGAUGACAUGCAAAUUCGUGAAGCAUUCCAUAUUUUU